Molecule: non-coding RNA, 114 nt
Organism: Acanthosepion pharaonis
Lineage: Eukaryota; Metazoa; Mollusca; Cephalopoda; Sepiida; Sepiidae
Source: the annotation of a GenBank genome assembly
UUACGGCCAUAUCAUGUUGAAGCAUCGGUUCUCGUGCAGUCGCCGAAGUUAACCAACGUCGAGCCUGGUCAGUACUUAUGUGGGUGACAGCUUGGUAAUACCAAGUGCUGUAAG